UCCGUAGGGGGUACCUGCGGAGGGAUCAUUACUGAGUUUACGCUCUAUAACCCUUUGUGAACAUACCUAUAACUGUUGCUUCGGCGGGUAGGGUCUCCGUGACCCUCCCGGCCUCCCGCCCCCGGGCGGGUCGGCGCCCGCCGGAGGAUAACCAAACUCUGAUUUAACGACGUUUCUUCUGAGUGGUACAAGCAAAUAAUCAAAACUUUUAACAACGGAUCUCUUGGUUCUGGCAUCGAUGAAGAACGCAGCGAAAUGCGAUAAGUAAUGUGAAUUGCAGAAUUCAGUGAAUCAUCGAAUCUUUGAACGCACAUUGCGCCCGCCAGCAUUCUGGCGGGCAUGCCUGUUCGAGCGUCAUUUCAACCCUCAAGCUCUGCUUGGUGUUGGGGCCCUACAGCUGAUGUAGGCCCUCAAAGGUAGUGGCGGACCCUCCCGGAGCCUCCUUUGCGUAGUAACUUUACGUCUCGCACUGGGAUCCGGAGGGACUCUUGCCGUAAAACCCCCAAUUCUCCAAAGGUUGACCUCGGAUCAGGUAG
This 536-nucleotide ribosomal RNA is filed under the name Colletotrichum sp. 2 ONH-2014. RNAcentral's name for it is "eukaryotic LSU rRNA". The stretch from base 204 to 357 matches the Rfam family "5.8S ribosomal RNA". The record is from RNAcentral. Lineage: Eukaryota; Fungi; Ascomycota; Sordariomycetes; Glomerellales; Glomerellaceae.